RNAcentral lists this unclassified non-coding RNA (21 nucleotides) under Mus musculus (house mouse). Its description in RNAcentral is "oocyte_clustered_small_RNA6545". The record is from RNAcentral. Lineage: Eukaryota; Metazoa; Chordata; Mammalia; Rodentia; Muridae.
UUACCGACGUGAGCCACCACG